GAUGAACGCUGGCGGCGUGCCUAAUACAUGCAAGUCGAGCGAACAGAUGAGGAGCUUGCUCCUCUGACGUUAGCGGCGGACGGGUGAGUAACACGUGGAUAACCUACCUAUAAGACUGGGAUAACUUCGGGAAACCGGAGCUAAUACCGGAUAAUAUAUUGAACCGCAUGGUUCAAUAGUGAAAGACGGUUUUGCUGUCACUUAGAGAUGGAUCCGCGCCGCCUUAGCUAGUUGGUAAGGGAACGGCUUCCCAAGGCAACGACGCGAAACCGACCUGAAGGGGGGUCCGCCACACUUGAAAUUGGGCACGGUCCCAACCCCCACCGGAGGGACCAGUGAGGGAUUCUGCCCCAUUGGGGCAAACCCUACCCGGCCAACCCCCGUUGGUUAAGAAGGGCUUUCGGUUCGUAAACCCUUUUUUUGGGGAAAAAAAAAAGUUGGAUAUAACCACGCUGUUCUGGCGGUACCCAAAUAAAAAGCCCCCGCUAACUUCGUG
This 496-nucleotide ribosomal RNA is filed under the name uncultured bacterium. RNAcentral's name for it is "partial 16S ribosomal RNA". It matches the Rfam family "Bacterial small subunit ribosomal RNA", at positions 28 to 507 of the family's 1533-position model. The record is from RNAcentral.